CAUAGGAUAAAUAUGACACCUUUUGCCCCACUAUUAUGAAAGUGUACAGCAGCAGGAAGUUCAGAGAGGAUGAAGUUCCUGUGAGUGUUUGUGACUGAUCUGCAGUGACUUACAGCUCAGAGCACUGAGAGCCUCAACAGAGAACUGAACUGAUCUGAUUGAACAUGGACAGAUGCUUCAUACUGAUUCUCAUCGUGGGAACAGGUUUGGUGGCUGGAGACAGCAUUGAUCCAGAUAAAGGAACAGACAAAAACACUGAAGAAAGAGAAACUGUCAAGCUGACUUGCUCUUAUACUACAAGUAGUGAAUAUAUUUUGCUUUACUGGUACAGACAGUAUCCCAACAGAGAACCCGAGUAUUUAUUACUCAAAAAUGCACGGUCGGCAGGUUAUUACGAACGCACCUCUGAUAAUCGAUUUCAGCUGACUGCAGCACGUACAUCCACUGAACUCACUAUCACUGAUGUACGUCUGUCAGAUUCAGCUCUCUAUUAUUGUGCUCUAAGAGUAGUAGCCCAGUGAUACAAAACAUGAGACAUGUCAUACAAAAACCUGAAGAUCUUUUCACUUUGAAAAUUCUAGUGAAAAACCACAAUCAAAACCACAAUCUAUCCAGCACUGAAUGUAAUAAAAUAUGUGGUCACAGCUGUGAGAGGCUGAAGCAGGCCUGUUAAAAAAAUUCCAAGAAGUAUUGACAAUAUGUUAAGAUAUCACAGCCUAUGUGGUUCCUUUUAUGCACAAAUACAUUCUUAAUAGAAUGUCUUAAUUGCUUGUCAUGAAGUAAAAAAAAAAUGGAGCAAUUAGAGGGCGGCUGGUUUGUUUAAUGGGUGCUGAGUGUGUACCCUGAGUGUGUAAUGUGUUUAUAUUAAAUGUAAAAUUUUCAAAUGAAAAGGGCAACAUGAUCAUUUUAUAAAGUAGGCCUAU
Molecule: non-coding RNA, 923 nt
Organism: Carassius auratus (goldfish)
Lineage: Eukaryota; Metazoa; Chordata; Actinopteri; Cypriniformes; Cyprinidae
Source: the annotation of a RefSeq genome assembly